UAGGUUUGUCCUAAGUCAAACUUCCUUAGGUUUGACCUAGGUUAUAGAAAAAAUUACUAAUAUCCACAAAACUAAAUAUAAAAUUACAUAUAGUCUGAAAAUAUACAUUAUGAUGAAUCUAAUGAAACUAAUUUGGUGUUUUGGAUGCUGGUAUAUUUUUAUGUAGACUUGGUCAAACCUAAGGAAGUUUGACUUAGGACUGAACUGUA
Molecule: non-coding RNA, 209 nt
Organism: Triticum urartu
Lineage: Eukaryota; Viridiplantae; Streptophyta; Magnoliopsida; Poales; Poaceae
Source: Rfam